This 306-nucleotide ribosomal RNA is filed under the name Podarcis cretensis. RNAcentral's name for it is "partial large subunit ribosomal RNA". It matches the Rfam family "Bacterial large subunit ribosomal RNA", at positions 2030 to 2535 of the family's 2925-position model. The record is from RNAcentral. Lineage: Eukaryota; Metazoa; Chordata; Lepidosauria; Squamata; Lacertidae.
UAGCCAAUGAAAUUGAUCCUUCAGUACAAAAGCUGGAAUUAACCCAUAAGACGAGAAGACCCUGUGGAGCUUCAAAACCAAAAUCACUAAACAUGCCUCCUGGUUUUUUAGUUGGGGCGACUUUGGAGCAAAAAAAAUCCUCCAAAACAUAAAGUCAUUUAUUAAGAAAAACACACCAAAAAUAAUAUUAUAGACCCAGCAGUACUAGUUUACUGUCUGAUCAAUGAACCAAGUUACCCCAGGGAUAACAGCGCCAUCCUCUUCUAGAGUCCUUAUCGACAAGAGGGUUUACGACCUCGAUGUUGG